Molecule: ribosomal RNA, 468 nt
Filed under: uncultured bacterium
Lineage: Bacteria
Description: partial 16S ribosomal RNA
Rfam family: Bacterial small subunit ribosomal RNA
Source: RNAcentral
GACGAACGCUGGCGGCGUGCUUAACACAUGCAAGUCGAACGGAAAGGCCCUGCUUUUGUGGGGUGCUCGAGUGGCGAACGGGUGAGUAACACGUGAGUAACCUGCCCUUGACUUUGGGAUAACUUCAGGAAACUGGGGCUAAUACCGGAUAGGAGCUCCUGCUGCAUGGUGGGGGUUGGAAAGUUUCGGCGGUUGGGGAUGGACUCGCGGCUUAUCAGCUUGUUGGUGGGGUAGUGGCUUACCAAGGCUGUGAAGGGUAGCCGGCCUGAGAGGGGGACCGGCCACAUGGGGACUGAGAUACGGCCCAGACUGCUACGGGAGGCAGCAGUGGGGAAUAUUGCACAAUGGGCGGAAGCCUGAUGCAGCAACGCCGCGUGCGGGAUGACGGCCUUCGGGUUGUAAACCGCUUUCGCCUGUGACGAAGCGUGAGUGACGGUAAUGGGUAAAGAAGCACCGGCUAACUACGUG